UACAGAGGGUGCAAGCGUUAAUCGGAAUUACUGGGCGUAAAGCGUGCGCAGUCGGUUAUUUAAGUCGGAUGUGAAAUCCCCGGGCUCAACCUGGGAACUGCAUUGGUGACUGGCAGGCUUUGAGUGUGGCAGAGGGAGGUAGAAUUCCACGUGUAGCAGUGAAAUGCGUAGAGAUGUGGAGGAAUACCGAUGGCGAAGGCAGCCUCCUGGGCCAACACUGACGCUCAUGCACGAAAGCGUGGGGAGCAAACAGG
This 254-nucleotide ribosomal RNA is filed under the name uncultured bacterium. Its description in RNAcentral is "partial 16S ribosomal RNA". It matches the Rfam family "Bacterial small subunit ribosomal RNA", at positions 524 to 776 of the family's 1533-position model. The record is from RNAcentral.